This 2327-nucleotide ribosomal RNA is filed under the name Escherichia coli. RNAcentral's name for it is "partial 23S ribosomal RNA". It matches the Rfam family "Bacterial large subunit ribosomal RNA", at positions 1 to 2353 of the family's 2925-position model. The record is from RNAcentral. Lineage: Bacteria; Pseudomonadati; Pseudomonadota; Gammaproteobacteria; Enterobacterales; Enterobacteriaceae.
GGUUAAGCGACUAAGCGUACACGGUGGAUGCCCUGGCAGUCAGAGGCGAUGAAGGACGUGCUAAUCUGCGAUAAGCGUCGGUGAGGUGAUAUGAACCGUUAUAACCGGCGAUUUCCGAAUGGGGAAACCCAGUGUGUUUCGACACACUAUCAUUAACUGAAUCCAUAGGUUAAUGAGGCGAACCGGGGGAACUGAAACAUCUAAGUACCCCGAGGAAAAGAAAUCAACCGAGAUUCCCCCAGUAGCGGCGAGCGAACGGGGAGGAGCCCAGAGCCUGAAUCAGUGUGUGUGUUAGUGGAAGCGUCUGGAAAGGCGCGCGAUACAGGGUGACAGCCCCGUACACAAAAAUGCACAUAUUGUGAGCUCGAUGAGUAGGGCGGGACACGUGGUAUCCUGUCUGAAUAUGGGGGGACCAUCCUCCAAGGCUAAAUACUCCUGACUGACCGAUAGUGAACCAGUACCGUGAGGGAAAGGCGAAAAGAACCCCGGCGAGGGGAGUGAAAAAGAACCUGAAACCGUGUACGUACAAGCAGUGGGAGCCUCUUAAUGGGGUGACUGCGUACCUUUUGUAUAAUGGGUCAGCGACUUAUAUUCUGUAGCAAGGUUAACCGAAUAGGGGAGCCGAAGGGAAACCGAGUCUUAACUGGGCGUUAAGUUGCAGGGUAUAGACCCGAAACCCGGUGAUCUAGCCAUGGGCAGGUUGAAGGUUGGGUAACACUAACUGGAGGACCGAACCGACUAAUGUUGAAAAAUUAGCGGAUGACUUGUGGCUGGGGGUGAAAGGCCAAUCAAACCGGGAGAUAGCUGGUUCUCCCCGAAAGCUAUUUAGGUAGCGCCUCGUGAAUUCAUCUCCGGGGGUAGAGCACUGUUUCGGCAAGGGGGUCAUCCCGACUUACCAACCCGAUGCAAACUGCGAAUACCGGAGAAUGUUAUCACGGGAGACACACGGCGGGUGCUAACGUCCGUCGUGAAGAGGGAAACAACCCAGACCGCCAGCUAAGGUCCCAAAGUCAUGGUUAAGUGGGAAACGAUGUGGGAAGGCCCAGACAGCCAGGAUGUUGGCUUAGAAGCAGCCAUCAUUUAAAGAAAGCGUAAUAGCUCACUGGUCGAGUCGGCCUGCGCGGAAGAUGUAACGGGGCUAAACCAUGCACCGAAGCUGCGGCAGCGACACUAUGUGUUGUUGGGUAGGGGAGCGUUCUGUAAGCCUGUGAAGGUGUACUGUGAGGUAUGCUGGAGGUAUCAGAAGUGCGAAUGCUGACAUAAGUAACGAUAAAGCGGGUGAAAAGCCCGCUCGCCGGAAGACCAAGGGUUCCUGUCCAACGUUAAUCGGGGCAGGGUGAGUCGACCCCUAAGGCGAGGCCGAAAGGCGUAGUCGAUGGGAAACAGGUUAAUAUUCCUGUACUUGGUGUUACUGCGAAGGGGGGACGGAGAAGGCUAUGUUGGCCGGGCGACGGUUGUCCCGGUUUAAGCGUGUAGGCUGGUUUUCCAGGCAAAUCCGGAAAAUCAAGGCUGAGGCGUGAUGACGAGGCACUACGGUGCUGAAGCGACAAAUGCCCUGCUUCCAGGAAAAGCCUCUAAGCAUCAGGUAACAUCAAAUCGUACCCCAAACCGACACAGGUGGUCAGGUAGAGAAUACCAAGGCGCUUGAGAGAACUCGGGUGAAGGAACUAGGCAAAAUGGUGCCGUAACUUCGGGAGAAGGCACGCUGAUAUGUAGGUGAAGCGACUUGCUCGUGGAGCUGAAAUCAGUCGAAGAUACCAGCUGGCUGCAACUGUUUAUUAAAAACACAGCACUGUGCAAACACGAAAGUGGACGUAUACGGUGUGACGCCUGCCCGGUGCCGGAAGGUUAAUUGAUGGGGUUAGCGGUAACGCGAAGCUCUUGAUCGAAGCCCCGGUAAACGGCGGCCGUAACUAUAACGGUCCUAAGGUAGCGAAAUUCCUUGUCGGGUAAGUUCCGACCUGCACGAAUGGCGUAAUGAUGGCCAGGCUGUCUCCACCCGAGACUCAGUGAAAUUGAACUCGCUGUGAAGAUGCAGUGUACCCGCGGCAAGACGGAAAGACCCCGUGAACCUUUACUAUAGCUUGACACUGAACAUUGAGCCUUGAUGUGUAGGAUAGGUGGGAGGCUUUGAAGUGUGGACGCCAGUCUGCAUGGAGCCGACCUUGAAAUACCACCCUUUAAUGUUUGAUGUUCUAACGUGGGCCCCUUACCGGGGUUGCGGACAGUGUCUGGUGGGUAGUUUGACUGGGGCGGUCUCCUCCUAAAGAGUAACGGAGGAGCACGAAGGUUGGCUAAUCCUGGUCGGACAUCAGGAGGUUAGUGCA